AAACUUACUUGGUUGGGAGGAUAUCUCGACCGUGAAGGCGGACAUGCACGGUGAGAUUUGGCCAUUGCACUUUCGGCCUGGUUGACCUAUGUGGCAUUACCAAGUUGGGAUUAGCAAACAGCGUAAUUUUUGCAUUUGGGGGUAGCGUUCGCGCUUCCCCGC
Ascaris lumbricoides (common roundworm) is the source of this 162-nucleotide non-coding RNA. The record is from Rfam. NCBI's taxonomy places the organism in Eukaryota, Metazoa, Nematoda, Chromadorea, Rhabditida, Ascarididae.